CUUUCUUAACCCAAGAUGCUUCCCAUAGUUCUGCUGUGCUCCAGACAACAUGUCAUAAACACCAGGAACGUGCAGCAGAGCCAUUAUCAGCCCUGGAUUCUGGGCUGCAGCAUCCCUGCUGUUCAAAUAUACUGGCACAGGACAGAAAACUGAUAACAGUAAUUCUACAGAGCUUUUGAGCCAGGAGAAGAGGGUUGCAGACAAUUACUGCCUUGGAGGCUCAGAUCCCCUAAAGGCACUAGUGAAUUGAAUGUGCAAGAGAGACAAAGUGCCUAACAAAGAAAAAGCUGCUGCAUGACAAGGAUUGCCUCUGCUCUCACAAGGAACUCGACUAGCAAGGAAAUCUCCUUGUGGAGUACAAAUGCGAGCAAACCUACGACAGCAAAUGAGGCAACGGGAAACCACAGAAAUAAAGAUGUAGAAAGAGACUGGUGGACAUGAAA
Pseudopipra pipra is the source of this 443-nucleotide long non-coding RNA. RefSeq lists it as uncharacterized. The transcript is spliced from 2 exons. NCBI's taxonomy places the organism in Eukaryota, Metazoa, Chordata, Aves, Passeriformes, Pipridae. The record is from RefSeq and is a predicted model, not a curated record.